UCUAGCAUGACCUCACCUGGUGUUCGCGGCGCGUAGCCCGAACUGAAAGAUGGGGAAGUCCGGUGAGAAUCCGGCGCUGUUGCGCAGCGGUGUGCCGAUUAUGAUCGGCGAGCCCGAAUGCCUGCCAGGGAAGCCCUCUAUAC
This 143-nucleotide non-coding RNA is filed under the name Deinococcus peraridilitoris. The record is from RNAcentral. RNAcentral also lists the same sequence under 1 other name. Lineage: Bacteria; Thermotogati; Deinococcota; Deinococci; Deinococcales; Deinococcaceae.